CGUAACACGUGAAGAAUUUGUCCAUCGGCGGGGGAUAGCCGGCCCAACAGCCGGGUAAUACCGCGUACGACCUUCGGGGGCAUCCCCUGAAGGUGAAAGCCGCAAGGCGCCUAUGGAGAACUUCGCGGCCUAUCAGCUAGUUGGUGAGGUCAUGGCUCACCAAGGCGACGACGGGUAGCUGGUCCGAGAGGAUGACCAGCCACAUUGGGACUGAGAGACGGCCCAG
Molecule: ribosomal RNA, 226 nt
Filed under: uncultured bacterium
Lineage: Bacteria
Description: partial 16S ribosomal RNA
Rfam family: Bacterial small subunit ribosomal RNA
Source: RNAcentral